ACCAGUUUUUUCACGAUUUUUUUCUAGGAUGCGGCUUACCAGGUCACACAUAUGUUGUCUAAUGGAUCUGAAAAUUUCAGAAAUCUUUUAAUCAGUAACCCUACAACAAAUGGUGCUAGUACCAAUAUUAGCACUCCUCCCUGCACCACUUAAGUGUCAAAAUUACGUGAGGGGGAAUAAAAUAGUUACUUAACAAUGGGCGCGGCCCAAGGUUUCCAAAACCUGCUAGGUUCUGGUUCAAGAUUGGCGCAGGCUUCAUCGUCAAGGCCGGGAUGAAGGACUUAGCAGUGUCUUAACUUUACUUAUUUAUUAAACUAAAUUCUUUUGUUAAAAUCUAGUCAUGGGCGUCUUGAUAUGACAGAUUGGUUUCGAUGAGGUUAAUUUUAAAUUUUACGGAAUUUUUGCCCACCGUGGACGCCUAUGUUACUAGAUGCGAAAUGCGUGGGUUCAUAUCGACUGUGCGUCUUGAUAUAACUUGAUGCAUUGAAACUAACUUUUAAUUAAAUGGUUGUUCGUUGGAUGUUUUGGACUUGUGAUAAUUCGAACAUUCCUAUUUUUUAUUUUAUAUUUUUGUUUUAGUUGUAGUUAAUUGUUUACCAGCUGAUGUAAAAAUACUCAUCCUUACUCUAUUUUCCUAGUGUUAAAUUUGUAAUUGUACGCUUUGUAUAUAUCUUUUGUAAAUUAUGGUUUUACAUUUUACUACUGUAGGUAUACUGUAAAUAAAUUGUCGGUAAUAAAUGGUUCAUUUGUU
Long non-coding RNA from Anoplophora glabripennis (Asian longhorned beetle), 751 nucleotides. RefSeq lists it as uncharacterized. NCBI's taxonomy places the organism in Eukaryota, Metazoa, Arthropoda, Insecta, Coleoptera, Cerambycidae. The transcript is spliced from 2 exons. The record is from RefSeq and is a predicted model, not a curated record.